This 253-nucleotide ribosomal RNA is filed under the name uncultured bacterium. RNAcentral describes it as "partial 16S ribosomal RNA". It matches the Rfam family "Bacterial small subunit ribosomal RNA", at positions 524 to 776 of the family's 1533-position model. The record is from RNAcentral.
UACAGGGGGGGCAAGCGUUGUUCGGAAUCAUUGGGCGUAAAGGGCGCGUAGGUGGUUCUGUAUGUCUACCGUGAAAGCGUACGGCUCAACUGUAUUUUGUCGGUGGAAACUGCAGGACUUGAGGCUGGGAGGGGCUGGUGGAAUUCCCUGUGUAGCGGUGAAAUGCGUAGAGAUGGGGGAGAACACUCGUGGCGAAGGCGGCCAGCUAGACCAGUUCUGACACUGAGGCGCGACAGCGUGGGGAGCAAACAGG